AGCAGCCGCCGCGGGAAUACGAAGGGUGCAAGCGUUACUCGGAAUUACUGGGCGUAAAGCGUGCGUAGGUGGUGGUUUAAGUCCGUUGUGAAAGCCCUGGGCUCAACCUGGGAAUUGCAGUGGAUACUGGGUCACUAGAGUGUGGUAGAGGAUAGUGGAAUUUCCGGUGUAGCAGUGAAAUGCGUAGAGAUCGGAAGGAACAUCUGUGGCGAAGGCGACUAUCUGGGCCAACACUGACACUGAGGCACGAAAGCGUGGGGAGCAAACAGGAUUAGAUACCCCCGUAGUCCCUGUCUCUUAUAC
RNAcentral lists this ribosomal RNA (303 nucleotides) under uncultured bacterium. RNAcentral describes it as "partial 16S ribosomal RNA". It matches the Rfam family "Bacterial small subunit ribosomal RNA", at positions 507 to 807 of the family's 1533-position model. The record is from RNAcentral.